Molecule: ribosomal RNA, 433 nt
Filed under: uncultured bacterium
Lineage: Bacteria
Description: partial 16S ribosomal RNA
Rfam family: Bacterial small subunit ribosomal RNA
Source: RNAcentral
AACGAACGCUGGCGGCAUGCCUAACACAUGCAAGUCGAACGAUCCCUUCGGGCCUAGUGGCGCACGGGUUCGUAACGCGUGGGAAUCUGCCUUUCUGUUCGGAAUAACUCAGGGAAACUUGAGCUAAUACCGUAUAACGUCGCAAGACCAAAGAUUUAUCACCGAAAGAUGAGCCCGCGUAGGAUUAGCUAGUUGGUGAGGUAAAGGCUCACCAAGGCGACGAUCCUUAGCUGGUCUGAGAGGAUGAUCAGCCACACUGGGACUGAGACACGGCCCAGACUCCUACGGGAGGCAGCAGUGGGGAAUAUUGGACAAUGGGCGAAAGCCUGAUCCAGCAAUGCCGCGUGAGUGAUGAAGGCCUUAGGGUUGUAAAGCUCUUUUACCCGGGAAGAUAAUGACGGUACCGGGAGAAUAAGCCCCGGCUAACUCCGUG